Unclassified non-coding RNA from Cavia porcellus (domestic guinea pig), 310 nucleotides. Its record names the gene 7SK. It matches the Rfam family "7SK RNA". Rfam says of the family: 7SK was discovered as an abundant small nuclear RNA in the mid-70s but a possible function has only recently been suggested. Two independent studies have found that 7SK RNA binds the CDK9/cyclin T complex (known as elongation factor P-TEFb). P-TEFb activates transcription by phosphorylating the C-terminal domain of RNA polymerase II. Lineage: Eukaryota; Metazoa; Chordata; Mammalia; Rodentia; Caviidae. The record is from Ensembl.
GGGUGUGAGGGCGGUCCAGCUGCAACACCAGUCACCCCACUGCUCACCAGAGUGGACUCUGCUCAUCUGGCCGGCGAGGUCCCCUCCAGUCCUCACGGCUCCAUGGAGGUCCUUCCCCAGGCUGCUCCCCUGGCUGAAGAUGACCUUCCCCAAGUUCCAACACAGCAGGACCGUUCUUCAGUUACGCUUCCCUGCUAGAACCUCAAAUGAGCUCCCAAAUUGAGAGUAUCUGAGACAUGUUUGGAGCUGGGAAUGAAGAGAGGACAAUUUUGUUUCUUUUGGGGGCUGGGCCUGUUAGCAGUUUAUUAGG